Long non-coding RNA from Cucurbita maxima (winter squash), 116 nucleotides. RefSeq lists it as uncharacterized. The transcript has 3 exons. Lineage: Eukaryota; Viridiplantae; Streptophyta; Magnoliopsida; Cucurbitales; Cucurbitaceae. The record is from RefSeq and is a predicted model, not a curated record.
UUCGGAUUUGACCCAACCUCUACGUAGGAAGAAGAAAAUGAUUAUCAAGGUAAAGACAAGACGCCUCUAUACGGUUGAUGAUGACAUUGCAAGUAAAGACCGUGACACAUGCAUAG